Ochotona curzoniae (black-lipped pika) is the source of this 104-nucleotide small nuclear RNA. The record is from RefSeq and is a predicted model, not a curated record. Lineage: Eukaryota; Metazoa; Chordata; Mammalia; Lagomorpha; Ochotonidae.
GUGCUCGCUUCGGCAGCACAUAUAUUAAAAUUGGAACGAUACAGAGAAGAUUAGCAUGGCCCCUGUGCAAGGAGUGCAGUUACAACCUACUCUACAAAGUUUCU